UAUAACCAGCCUCUGUUCUGUCCUGCCGGUGCAUCAUAUAACCAGCCUCUGUUCUAUCCUGCCGGUGCAUCGUAUAACCAGCCAGCCUCUGUUCUAUCCUGCCGGUGCAUCGUAUAACCAGCCACGCCUCUGUUCUGUCCUGCCGGUGCAUCGUAUAACCAGCCAGCCUCUGUUCUGUCCUGCCGGUGCAUCGUAUAACCAGCCACGCCUCUGUUCUGUCCUGCCGGUGCAUCGUAUAACCAGCCUCUGUUCUCCUGCCGGUGCAUCGUAUAACCAGCCUCUGUUCUAUCCU
Molecule: long non-coding RNA, 292 nt
Organism: Oncorhynchus tshawytscha (Chinook salmon)
Lineage: Eukaryota; Metazoa; Chordata; Actinopteri; Salmoniformes; Salmonidae
Source: Ensembl